GACGAACGCUGGCGGCGUGCCUAAUACAUGCAAGUCGAACGAACCGCGACUAGGUGCUUGCACUUGGUCAAGGUGAGUGGCGAACGGGUGAGUAACACGUGGGUAACCUACCUCAUAGUGGGGGAUAACAGUCGGAAACGACUGCUAAUACCGCAUAGGACAUAGGAUCACAUGAUCCAGUGAGGAAAGGUGGCGCAAGCUAUCGCUAAGAGAUGGACCCGCGGUGCAUUAGCUAGUUGGUAGGGUAAAGGCCUACCAAGGCGAUGAUGCAUAGCCGACGUGAGAGGGUGAUCGGCCACAUUGGGACUGAGACACGGCCCAAACUCCUACGGGAGGCAGCAGUAGGGAAUCUUCCGCAAUGGACGCAAGUCUGACGGAGCAACGCCGCGUGAGUGAAGAAGGUCUUCGGAUCGUAAAGCUCUGUUGUUAGAGAAGAACAGCGCAUAGAGUAACUGUUAUGCGUGUGACGGUAUCUAACCAGAAAGCCACGGCUAACUACGUG
RNAcentral lists this ribosomal RNA (502 nucleotides) under uncultured bacterium. Its description in RNAcentral is "partial 16S ribosomal RNA". It matches the Rfam family "Bacterial small subunit ribosomal RNA", at positions 28 to 507 of the family's 1533-position model. The record is from RNAcentral.